This 305-nucleotide ribosomal RNA is filed under the name uncultured bacterium. RNAcentral describes it as "partial 16S ribosomal RNA". It matches the Rfam family "Bacterial small subunit ribosomal RNA", at positions 505 to 809 of the family's 1533-position model. The record is from RNAcentral.
ACAGCAGCAGCCACGGUAAUACGUAGGGUGCAAGCGUUAAUCGGAAUUACUGGGCGUAAAGCGUGCGCAGGCGGUUAUAUAAGACAGAUGUGAAAUCCCCGGGCUCAACCUGGGAACUGCAUUUGUGACUGUAUAGCUAGAGUACGGCAGAGGGGGAUGGAAUUCCGCGUGUAGCAGUGAAAUGCGUAGAUAUGCGGAGGAACACCGAUGGCGAAGGCAAUCCCCUGGGCCUGUACUGACGCUCAUGCACGAAAGCGUGGGGAGCAAACAGGAUUAGAUACCCCUGUAGUACCUGUCUCUUAUAA